Long non-coding RNA from Ruditapes philippinarum (Manila clam), 2290 nucleotides. RefSeq lists it as uncharacterized. The transcript is spliced from 3 exons. Lineage: Eukaryota; Metazoa; Mollusca; Bivalvia; Venerida; Veneridae. The record is from RefSeq and is a predicted model, not a curated record.
AGUUUGAUUACAAUUUUAGGAACAUCUAGUGUAUUUUUAUGAAUGAAUACAUUUGAAUUUUUUAUUUUAGUACUUAAAUGUUCAAUUAUGAUAUAAAUAGCGGGAAUUUACUGAUGAGUUUGCCGUGUAUGGUGACUACCCCUAAAUUAUCGUGUCGAUUCGUCCGUCGCCGCAUAAACGCUUUGAACUUUUAGCGGGUGCCAAGUAAUUAGUGCCUGUAUGAGAUGAAAGCGGUUUGGAGACCCAAUCAUACAGCAGUUAAUUUUCAACAAAUUUUCAAAAUAUCUGCUUGUUUUAUAUACUAGUAGACAUUUAGUGAAGUUUAUUCUCGUGCAUGAUGUCCUUUAUGCAGUAGAUCUAUGUGGCGGGCAGUUUGUUGCGUGUUUAUAAUGCUGCAAAAUUAAAUAUAAGACGAGAUGAUAGACACACUGACCAUGGUGUUUGCAGAAGCGGUUGGUCCAUCUCAGCCGUGGUGGAGUAUUCGUCGCAGAAGCUGUGGAUAAAAUAUGGCCGUUUGCUGUUGUCAAUCUACCUAUCAUUUUUACCAGUCGGGCAUAAGCAUGAAGAUAAGAUACCUCCUUAAACAAAAAACUUCACUGUAUGGAUUGUGAGACAAGGCCAGAUCUUUAAAAGUUAUUGAAGGAUGCACAAAUGAUAGAUGCAAUGGCCAACUAAAAAGAAUGGAUGAACAAAAUUUAUCAUUUGAGGCUUCUCUACCGGACAUUUUGCUUGGGUUAGGGCUUUGGGCCUUAUAUUUAGCGUAUGUAGCGAAGACCUACAAAAAUAAUAGUAAUACAAAAACAAAUCUGCAACAGAAUCACACAAAUGUUGUUAAAACUAUUUAAUAGAGAAAAUAGUUCUUUUUAAGAAAAUGUGUACAUUUUAUACAAAGAAAGAACUAAUGGAAGGACUAAAAAAUGAACAUGCCACAUGCAUAUCUCCCAGGUGUUUUGCUUGGGUUAGGGCUUAAAUUAAUCUUACAUUGCUGUAAAAAAGACCUACCAAACUAUUGCAAUAACAAAUCUGGACUCAGACAAAUAGUGUUUAAAUGAUUGGCUGGAGAAAAUGGUGCUUUUUACAAAAAAUUAUACAUUAUAAACAUGUACAGAGCUCAACAAGUAAACCUGACUUAGCACUACAAAUUUGUAAAAAGUUAUUUGAAUAUUGUUUUCACAAAGGCAGACUUGGGAAAAAGUAAGCGACACCUGCCCUGAUUUAAAGCGGAUUCUCUUUUUGGUAGAUUUUAGAUUGUUGAUAUUUCAAGAAUAGAAAAACGGAAACAAACAGUGAGUUAUUUAUUAUCUGGAAAUGAAGAUGCAGUGGUAUUUUGGAGAAAAAAAAAAUCAAAUGAAUUAUAUGUUGUUAAUUAAAGAGAGAAAAAACUGCUUGAUAAGAUCUUGCAAGGUUGUUCAGAAUUUGUUAUACUUCAUGUGCAAUAAGUUAAAUUUCUGCCAGCAGAACAGAAUCAUUUAUGAUUAUACAUGUAUAUUUUAACAAGUAAAUCAAGAGAAGGAGAGAACACAUGUCAAACAUCUGGAUGGUUUGUAACUGGUACGUUUAUUCAAGGAUUUACCGGUUUCGGUCUUUCAAGACCUUCAUGAGGAUAAUUUCAAUAAUAAAUGAUUAUACUGAAGUACUAAAAAAGAGGAAACAGAAUGUGCCAUAUGUUACUAUAACUAGACAUAUAAAAGAGUUUUCUUGGCAAAAUGCCAAGUUAUUGUCCAUAUAAAAUGUUUCAAAUGUUGGUUAACCACAGAUCAUAUCUAUCAUCAAUGACCAAUUUUACGGCAUGGUUAAAGUGUUCAUAUUCACCUAAAAUGAUUGUGUCGCAAAAAUGUAGUUGAGACUAAGCUUCGCAGUCUUAAAAAGGGACUCCACUGAGGUUUAAAAGCCUAAAAACAUAACAUUUGAAUUUCUUACAUAAUUGAGCUGGGACACUUUAAACAGAAAUAUAUGCAAAGAUAGUUAAGAAAUAUACUUUGAAAUAAAUAGAAAAUCGUAUUAUUAGGCUUUCCUUAGCCCGAAUUGAGUGAAAAGGGUUUAAAACGCUUUUCAUUUUUGGUCAUUUUUUACAAUUUGAAUACAUUUGUUUUGUUAUUAUUCUGGAAAAACUAAGUGCGCGAAUGAUCGGAAAUUUUGCACAAAGAUUAGUGGUCUAAACCUACAUCAAAUGGUACAUUUUACUGGAAAAAUUAUUUCCAGUCCAAUCAUGUCAAAAAACCUCAGUGGAGUGACCCUUUAAGUUGAUUGUAGUUACUUAAGAGAAAAUAAGUUGGAUUCUGUAUUAAUU